GACGAACGCUGGCGGCGUGCUUAACACAUGCAAGUCGAACGGAAAGGCCCUGCUUGCAGGGUACUCGAGUGGCGAACGGGUGAGUAACACGUGGGUGAUCUGCCCUGCACUUCGGGAUAAGCCUGGGAAACUGGGUCUAAUACCGGAUAGGAGCCAUUUUUAGUGUGAUGGUUGGAAAGUUUUUUCGGUGUAGGAUGAGCUCGCGGCCUAUCAGCUUGUUGGUGGGGUAAUGGCCUACCAAGGCGGCGACGGGUAGCCGGCCUGAGAGGGUGGACGGCCACAUUGGGACUGAGAUACGGCCCAGACUCCUACGGGAGGCAGCAGUGGGGAAUAUGGCACAAUGGGCGCAAGCCUGAUGCAGCGACGCCGCGUGGGGGAUGACGGCCUUCGGGUUGUAAACUCCUUUCGCUAGGGACGAAGCUUUUUGUGACGGUACCUAGAUAAGAAGCACCGGCUAACUACGUG
Molecule: ribosomal RNA, 465 nt
Filed under: uncultured bacterium
Lineage: Bacteria
Description: partial 16S ribosomal RNA
Rfam family: Bacterial small subunit ribosomal RNA
Source: RNAcentral